GAUGAACGCUGGCGGCGUGCCUAAUACAUGCAAGUCGAGCGAACGGACGAGAAGCUUGCUUCUCUGAUGUUAGCGGCGGACGGGUGAGUAACACGUGGAUAACCUACCUAUAAGACUGGGAUAACUUCGGGAAACUGGAGCUAAUACCGGAUAAUAUUUUGAACCGCAUGGUUCAAAAGUGAAAGACGGUCUUGCUGUCACUUAUAGAUGGAUCCGCGCUGCAUUAGCUAGUUGGUAAGGUAACGGCUUACCAAGGCAACGAUGCAUAGCCGACCUGAGAGGGUGAUCGGCCACACUGGAACUGAGACACGGUCCAGACUCCUACGGGAGGCAGCAGUAGGGAAUCUUCCGCAAAGGGCGAAAGCCUGACGGAGCAACGCCGCGUGAGUGAUGAAGGUCUUCGGAUCGUAAAACUCUGUUAUUAGGGAAGAACAUAUGUGUAAGUAACUGUGCACAUCUUGACGGUACCUAAUCAGAAAGCCACGGCUAACUACGUG
RNAcentral lists this ribosomal RNA (497 nucleotides) under uncultured bacterium. RNAcentral's name for it is "partial 16S ribosomal RNA". It matches the Rfam family "Bacterial small subunit ribosomal RNA", at positions 28 to 507 of the family's 1533-position model. The record is from RNAcentral.